Molecule: ribosomal RNA, 1461 nt
Filed under: Listeria monocytogenes
Lineage: Bacteria; Bacillati; Bacillota; Bacilli; Caryophanales; Listeriaceae
Description: partial 23S ribosomal RNA
Rfam family: Bacterial large subunit ribosomal RNA
Source: RNAcentral
UUGGUUAAGUUAGAAAGGGCGCACGGUGGAUGCCUUGGCACUAGGAGCCGAAGAAGGACGGGACUAACACCGAUAUGCUUUGGGGAGCUGUACGUAAGCGUUGAUCCAGAGAUUUCCGAAUGGGGGAACCCACUAUCUUUAGUCGGAUAGUAUCCUUACGUGAAUACAUAGCGUGAGGAAGGCAGACCCAGGGAACUGAAACAUCUAAGUACCUGGAGGAAGAGAAAGAAAAAUCGAUUUCCUGAGUAGCGGCGAGCGAAACGGAAAGAGCCCAAACCAAGAAGCUUGCUUCUUGGGGUUGUAGGACACUCUAUACGGAGUUACAAAAGAAAGUUAUAAAUGAAGCGGUCUGGAAAGGCCCGCCAAAGACGGUAACAGCCCGGUAGUUGAAAUGGCUUUCCCUCCAGAGUGGAUCCUGAGUACGGCGGAACACGUGAAAUUCCGUCGGAAUCCGGGAGGACCAUCUCCCAAGGCUAAAUACUCCCUAGUGACCGAUAGUGAACCAGUACCGUGAGGGAAAGGUGAAAAGCACCCCGGAAGGGGAGUGAAACAGUUCCUGAAACCGUGUGCCUACAAGUAGUUAGAGCCCGUUAAUGGGUGAUAGCGUGCCUUUUGUAGAAUGAACCGGCGAGUUACGAUUUGUUGCAAGGUUAAGCGGAAAAAGCGGAGCCGUAGCGAAAGCGAGUCUGAAUAGGGCGCAUAAGUAACAGGUCGUAGACCCGAAACCAGGUGAUCUACCCAUGUCCAGGAUGAAGGUAAGGUAAUACUUACUGGAGGUCCGAACCCACGCACGUUGAAAAGUGCGGGGAUGAGGUGUGGGUAGCGGAGAAAUUCCAAUCGAACUUGGAGAUAGCUGGUUCUCUCCGAAAUAGCUUUAGGGCUAGCCUCGAGGUAAAGAGUCAUGGAGGUAGAGCACUGUUUGGACUAGGGGCCCUUCUCGGGUUACCGAAUUCAGAUAAACUCCGAAUGCCAUGUACUUAUACUCGGGAGUCAGACUGCGAGUGAUAAGAUCCGUAGUCGAAAGGGAAACAGCCCAGACCACCAGUUAAGGUCCCCAAAUAUAUGUUAAGUGGAAAAGGAUGUGGGGUUGCUUAGACAACCAGGAUGUUGGCUUAGAAGCAGCCACCAUUGAAAGAGUGCGUAAUAGCUCACUGGUCGAGUGACCCCGCGCCGAAAAUGUACCGGGGCUAAACAUAUUACCGAAACUGUGGAUGAACCUCUUUAGAGGUUCGUGGUAGGAGAGCGUUCUAAGGGCGGUGAAGUCAGACCGGAAGGACUGGUGGAGCGCUUAGAAGUGAGAAUGCCGGUAUGAGUAGCGAAAGAAGGGUGAGAAUCCCUUCCACCGAAUAUCUAAGGUUUCCUGAGGAAGGCUCGUCCGCUCAGGGUUAGUCGGGACCUAAGCCGAGGCCGAUAGGCGUAGGCGAUGGACAACAGGUAGAGAUUCCUGUACCAGUGCUAAUU